GGAUGCGAUCAUACCAGCACUAAAGCACCGGAUCCCAUCAGAACUCCGAAGUUAAGCGUGCUUGGCGAGAGUAGUACUAAGAAUGGUGACCUCCUGGGAAGUCCUCGUGUUGCAUUCCC
Molecule: ribosomal RNA, 119 nt
Filed under: Secale cereale subsp. vavilovii
Lineage: Eukaryota; Viridiplantae; Streptophyta; Magnoliopsida; Poales; Poaceae
Source: RNAcentral